RNAcentral lists this ribosomal RNA (307 nucleotides) under uncultured eukaryote. RNAcentral describes it as "partial 18S ribosomal RNA". It matches the Rfam family "Eukaryotic small subunit ribosomal RNA", at positions 1470 to 1796 of the family's 1831-position model. The record is from RNAcentral.
CCCUUAGACGUUCUGGGCCGCACGCGCGCUACACUGACGAAGGCAACGAGCUUUCCUUUACCGAAAGGUACGGGUAAUCUUUUGAAACUUCGUCGUGCUGGGGAUAGAUCCUUGCAAUUUUUGAUCUUAAACGAGGAAUGCCUAGUAAGCGCAAGUCAUCAACUUGCGUUGAUUGCGUCCCUGCCCUUUGUACACACCGCCCGUCGCUACUACCGAUUGAAUGGUUUAGUGAGGCCUUCGGAUCCGCGACUCGUUUGUGGAGAAGUUGGACAAACUCAGUCAUUUAGAGGAAGUAAAAGUCGUAACA